Molecule: ribosomal RNA, 608 nt
Filed under: uncultured bacterium
Lineage: Bacteria
Description: bacterial SSU rRNA
Rfam family: Bacterial small subunit ribosomal RNA
Source: RNAcentral
CCAGACUCCUACGGGAGGCAGCAGUAGGGAAUCUUCGGCAAUGGACGAAAGUCUGACCGAGCAACGCCGCGUGAGUGAAGAAGGUUUUCGGAUCGUAAAACUCUGUUGGUAGAGAAGAACGUUGGUGAGAGUGGAAAGCUCAUCAAGUGACGGUAACUACCCAGAAAGGGACGGCUAACUACGUGCCAGCAGCCGCGGUAAUACGUAGGUCCCGAGCGUUGUCCGGAUUUAUUGGGCGUAAAGCGAGCGCAGGUGGUUUAUUAAGUCUGGUGUAAAAGGCAGUGGCUCAACCAUUGUAUGCAUUGGAAACUGGUAGACUUGAGUGCAGGAGAGGAGAGUGGAAUUCCAUGUGUAGCGGUGAAAUGCGUAGAUAUAUGGAGGAACACCGGUGGCGAAAGCGGCUCUCUGGCCUGUAACUGACACUGAGGCUCGAAAGCGUGGGGAGCAAACAGGAUUAGAUACCCUGGUAGUCCACGCCGUAAACGAUGAGUGCUAGAUGUAGGGAACUAUAAGUUCUCUGUAUCGCAGCUAACGCAAUAAGCACUCCGCCUGGGGAGUACGACCGCAAGGUUGAAACUCAAAGGAAUUGACGGGGGCCCGCACAAGAA